GGAUUAUAGUUUGCUAUAAUUGUCAGCUAAGUGGCGCACGGGUGAGUAAUGUAUAGGUAAUAUGCCUCUUACUAAGGGAUAACAAAUGGAAACGUUUGCUAAUACCUUAUACUCCUUAUUAACAGAAGUUAAUAAGGGAAAGAUUUAUUGGUAAGAGAUUAGCCUGUAUUGUAUCAGUUAGUUGGUGGGGUAAUGGCUUACCAAGACUAUGACACAUAACUGGUUUGAGAGGAUGAUCAGUCACACUGGAACUGAGACACGGUCCAGACUCCUACGGGAGGCAGCAGUGGGGAAUAUUGCACAAUGGACGAAAGUCUGAUGCAGCAACGCCGCGUGGAGGAUGACACAUUUCGGUGCGUAAACUCCUUUUAUAUGAGAAGAUAAUGACGGUAUUAUAUGAAUAAGCACCGGCUAACUCCGUGCCAGCAGCCGCGGUAAUACGGGGGGGUGCAAGCGUUACUCGGAAUCACUGGGCGUAAAGAGCAUGUAGGCGGAUUAAUAAGUUUGAAGUGAAAUCCUAUAGCUUAACUAUAGAACUGCUUUGAAAACUGUUAAUCUAGAAUGUGGGAGAGGUAGAUGGAAUUUCUGGUGUAGGGGUAAAAUCCGUA
This 608-nucleotide ribosomal RNA is filed under the name uncultured bacterium. RNAcentral describes it as "bacterial SSU rRNA". It matches the Rfam family "Bacterial small subunit ribosomal RNA", at positions 70 to 692 of the family's 1533-position model. The record is from RNAcentral.